GAUCAUCCAAAUCAUUUUCGUUGCUUUAAAUCGACUUUCUACUCCCACGUAUAUAUCCCACUGUCCAAAAUCAAAGAUAAAAUGGUGUUUAUAUAUACGAGGAUCAAAGUAGAAACGGAAGAUGGAUCUUGGAAUUAUGGAAAGUAAUCCUCUAGAUAUAUGAAACUAUACAUACGUUUAUUGUAUAUAUAUAUAUAUAUAUAGUCUUUUUCACAUUUCAAAACGAAAAGCAAAAUAUUGGUAUUUUGUCUAUUUUUAUGGUUAUUAAUAUCUAUACGUUUAGAUAAGCAUAUGAUUUCAUCUUAUCAAAAAGGCUCUGAAUAUAAAUGCACCCACUACGUGACAUAAGCUCGUUGCAUAUAAACAAACAAUUUGGGAAUUUCUAGUUAAAAAUUGGGACACGAAGAUUCGGAUGAAUAUUUAAGUAAAAUGUUGGAUAAUAAAAGAGAAUAAAGAGAAACUAAAGUAAAAAGUGUUAUAGAAAAUUAGAGCACAUAGAUAUCCAUUAAUUAGAAUUUACAUACACAUGCAUAAACAGACAAUCAAUAUAUAUCAGUAGUAUAGAACUAAUCUUGAAAGUCACAUACAUCAUCGGAUCUACAAGUAAACGCAGAGAAAACAAAGAACGAAUGAAGAGACUAUCUUUGAGGAAAACCUAAUUUUCAAUAAGAUUACAUAAAGACAAAACUUACAUGUUUUUACUUACUUGUUAGAGUGAUUCCAAAACGAUAAUGUUUGGCUGAAGCAAAGUCGACUUGUAAGGGGAAAAAUAUCGAAACUCUACAAACAGAUCUGUGUUUUUUUUUUUUUUUUAAGUGUAGGUUUGGAUCGAUAUCAAUGGAUCUUUUUUCUCUCUCUCUCUUUUUUUCUAUCUACUAUUCUACAUAAAAGGUAGCGAGAUAGAGAACUCCACAGGCUACCGAAGCCAAUAAAUGAAGUCUUUUUAGUACAAAAAGUCUUUUUUUUUUACAGAAAAUUCAAAUUCACCUUCGUUUGUAGUAAAACCUAAUUUGAAAAGGUUAAAAAGAAUUGAGAAAAAUAAUAAUUAACUAAUAGUAUAAGGUAAAAUAAUGUUGACAUUAAGUCAACGUCAUUUUUACAUCUACUAAGUAAAAUUCGUCUAACUCAAACCCCUUUUUACACUUCUAUAACUCCAAAGAGGUUUAUGGAGUGUUUUGUUACGCUUUUCUUUAAAAUCGUCACAGAAAAAAACAAGUCACUAGUUUUUAAUAGAUAAAAGAAAAUGCAGAUCUUAAAGAGACUAUAAAAAAAAGGAACGGAUCCGGUUAGUGUGAACAGACAUGCAAUAUAGAUCCCAUUCGUCAACGAAACAAAGAUAUGCACAUGUAUGUAUAUAAGCAUCGGUUUAUAUAAUAUAUAUAUAUAUAGAGAGAGAGAGAGACAGAGCGAGUGAUCUUACCUCUGGACAUACAAUGAAACCCUAGCUUGAGUACUCUUCUAUAAUUUUUGAGCUCUCCUUUGUGGAGAAAAAGAGAUGGACGCGGAGAUAUGCGAAAAUCAGAAGGGCACGGGUUAACACCCUAGUCAAGACAUAACCGGUGAUUUUCGGAGGAUUCUCUUAAGGAGAUAGCAAAGAAAAAACAAAUGGAGAAUUGGCUGAAGGAGGAACUAAGGAAAGAGGAGGAAGAAGAGAAAUAGGUGAGGAGAGGAUGUGGCAGAAGGAAAAGGAGUUAUUGCGAAAUGCAUAGAGAGGGUGCAUCGCAUUUAUGAUUAUCGAAAGGUCCAUUAAUG
This 1752-nucleotide long non-coding RNA is filed under the name Brassica napus (rape). RNAcentral describes it as "long non-coding RNA (BNAP_LNC007966)". The record is from RNAcentral. Lineage: Eukaryota; Viridiplantae; Streptophyta; Magnoliopsida; Brassicales; Brassicaceae.